AGUGAACGCUGGCGGUAGGCCUAACACAUGCAAGUCGAACGGCAGCACAGUAAGAGCUUGCUCUUACGGGUGGCGAGUGGCGGACGGGUGAGGAAUACAUCGGAAUCUACUUUUUCGUGGGGGAUAACGUAGGGAAACUUACGCUAAUACCGCAUACGACCUACGGGUGAAAGCAGGGGAUCUUCGGACCUUGCGCGAUUGAAUGAGCCGAUGUCGGAUUAGCUAGUUGGCGGGGUAAAGGCCCACCAAGGCGACGAUCCAUAGCUGGUCUGAGAGGAUGAUCAGCCACACUGGAACUGAGACACGGUCCAGACUCCUACGGGAGGCAGCAGUGGGGAAUAUAGGACAAUGGGCGCAAGCCUGAUCCAGCCAUACCGCGUGGGUGAAGAAGGCCUUCGGGUUGUAAAGCCCUUUUGUUGGGAAAGAAAAGCAGCAGGUUAAUACCCCGCUGUUCUGACGGUACCCAAAGAAUAAGCACCGGCUAACUUCGU
RNAcentral lists this ribosomal RNA (491 nucleotides) under uncultured bacterium. RNAcentral describes it as "partial 16S ribosomal RNA". It matches the Rfam family "Bacterial small subunit ribosomal RNA", at positions 29 to 506 of the family's 1533-position model. The record is from RNAcentral.